Molecule: long non-coding RNA, 844 nt
Filed under: Marmota monax (woodchuck)
Lineage: Eukaryota; Metazoa; Chordata; Mammalia; Rodentia; Sciuridae
Source: RNAcentral
CAGCGUAGCAGGCUUGCAGGUGACAGUGCACAGCUGUGUUUUCCGGCCCCGUCUGGGGUCAUCCAACAAAUGAGGAAAGCUUGCCAGACCUGAAUCUAAAAGCGCUAAACGCUGGUGUCGACUCUGCCCAGAGGACAGCGGAGCCCCUGCAGCCAUCUGCUCGGCCAUCAGAGCCUUCCUGCUGGAGGCGUUGCUAUUUCAUAGUAGUCGUUAGGGGAAAGAAACGAUCUUAAGCAACACGUUCUCUUCUAUUUUACACACCAGAAUACUUUAUGCGUCCAGUUCCCUCCCAGGACAGAGAACCUGGAGCAGAAUGACAUGCGUGAGGACCUGGGGGCACACACACCUAGGGCACAUCAAGAAACACCCCCUACCACGGGGUGGCCCCAGGACCUCAACAGCCAAGUGCCAGGAAGGAGAGAGCCAGUGGCCCAGCCCUGGAUGUCAGCAGCCCCACCAUUCUGGAAUCCCACAAAAUCCAGUAAAUAAGAAAACUCACACAACACAGGCAUGCACAGGCUUUUUAAAGGAUUGUCUAGAUUUGGCACUUGGUGAAAAAUACUGUCCCCAGCCUGACUGGGGUAACGGGUGGAGAAGACAGGUAAUGAUGGUGUGUUGGCAGAGAUGAGCUGUCCAUGAAGGAUUGGCACUAAGGCCAUAGGACUGAGGACCAAGGCUCAGUGGCAGUCUCUGCCUUGCCACUGUGAGUGCUGAGGCCCACCAAGUCACAGGUGAUGAGUGCCAAGGCCAACCAAGUCACUGCCACUGUGGGGAGCCUUGGGAUGGGUUCCCUGUCUCCUAAAAGUCUAGAGACCAGGUUCAGUUCUGUUCUGCCAUGAACUGC